UGAUGAUUACCUUCAAUUCCUUUUGCGGUUUCCACCAGAAAGCCUCGGCUUAAGGAUGGUUAAAGGCGUCUGAAU
This 75-nucleotide small nucleolar RNA is filed under the name Drosophila ananassae. RNAcentral's name for it is "snoRNA:GF26154". The record is from RNAcentral. Lineage: Eukaryota; Metazoa; Arthropoda; Insecta; Diptera; Drosophilidae.